RNAcentral lists this ribosomal RNA (333 nucleotides) under uncultured eukaryote. Its description in RNAcentral is "partial 18S ribosomal RNA". It matches the Rfam family "Eukaryotic small subunit ribosomal RNA", at positions 1470 to 1796 of the family's 1831-position model. The record is from RNAcentral.
CCCUUAGAUGUUCGGGGCCGCACGCGCGCUACACUGAAGGAAUCAGCGUGUUCUUGUCCUGGUCUGGAAAGACUGGGUAACCCGUUGAACCUCCUUCGUGCUAGGGAUUGGGGCUUGCAAUUAUUCCCCAUGAACGAGGAAUUCCCAGUAAGCGCAAGUCAUCAGCUUGUGUUGAUUACGUCCCUGCCCUUUGUACACACCGCCCGUCGCUACUACCGAUUGAAUGGUUUAGUGAGACCCUCGGAUUCGUCCCAGCACAGUGGGUUUCUGCUGAGCUGGUGCGCGGAGAAGACGGUCGAACUUGAUCAUUUAGAGGAAGUAAAAGUCGUAACA